UACAGAGGUGGCGAGCGUUGUCCGGAUUUAUUGGGCGUAAAGAGCUCGUAGGCGGCUCAGUAAGUCAGGUGUGAAAACUCCAGGCUCAACCUAGAGACGCCACCUGAUACUGCUGUGGCUAGAGUCCGGUAGGGGAGCAUGGAAUUCCUGGUGUAGCGGUGAAAUGCGCAGAUAUCAGGAGGAACACCAGUGGCGAAGGCGGUGCUCUGGGCCGGAACUGACGCUGAGGAGCGAAAGCGUGGGGAGCAAACAGG
Molecule: ribosomal RNA, 254 nt
Filed under: uncultured bacterium
Lineage: Bacteria
Description: partial 16S ribosomal RNA
Rfam family: Bacterial small subunit ribosomal RNA
Source: RNAcentral